CUGGCGGCGUGCCUAACACAUGCAAGUCGAACGAGAAAGUGGAGCAAUCCAUGAGUACAGUGGCGUACGGGUGAGUAACACGUGACUAACCUACCCUCGAGUGGGGAAUAACUUCGGGAAACCGAGGCUAAUACCGCAUAACAUCUACGGAUCAAAUGCGCAAGCAGCUUGAGGAGGGGGUCGCGGCUGAUUAGCUAGUUGGCGGGGUAACGGCCCACCAAGGCAAUGAUCAGUAGCCGGCCUGAGAGGGCGCACGGCCACACUGGAACUGAAACACGGUCCAGACUCCUACGGGAGGCAGCAGUGGGGAAUUUUGCGCAAUGGGGGAAACCCUGACGCAGCAACGCCGCGUGGAGGAUGAAGCCCCUUGGGGUGUAAACUCCUUUCGAUCGGGACGAUUAUGACGGUACCGGAUGAAGAAGCACCGGCUAACUCUGUGCCAGCAGCCGCGGUAAUACAGAGGGUGCAAGCGUUGUUCGGAAUUAUUGGGCGUAAAGGGUGCGUAGGCGGUGCGGUAAGUCUUCUGUGAAACCUCCGGGCUUAACUCGGAGCCUGCAGGGGAAACUGCCGUGCUGGAGU
This 579-nucleotide ribosomal RNA is filed under the name uncultured bacterium. RNAcentral's name for it is "bacterial SSU rRNA". It matches the Rfam family "Bacterial small subunit ribosomal RNA", at positions 36 to 647 of the family's 1533-position model. The record is from RNAcentral.